This 1608-nucleotide long non-coding RNA is filed under the name Trifolium pratense (red clover). RNAcentral describes it as "long non-coding RNA (TPRA_LNC012414)". The record is from RNAcentral. Lineage: Eukaryota; Viridiplantae; Streptophyta; Magnoliopsida; Fabales; Fabaceae.
UAUUGGAGGAGGAGGUGCUUGCAAAAUUUACUUCUUAAUUUCAUUGCAAAUGUUGUUAGCAUUUUUAACAUUAAUUCUUUGGUUAAUUUUGAUGUUAUUACCACUUUGUUUUCGCUUAAGUGCCAUACUUAGAUUCUCACACUCAAAAGUGCAAUAAAAAACCUUUUCAUCUUACCUAUACUAAUACACAUAUUACAUGAGUUUUUUUGUUUGCUGCACCGGAGAGAGUCGGGAUGCUGCGCUGUUUUGCGUUUUUCUCUUUUGUCUCAUGUCUGUACUGUUUUUUGGAUCUGUGAUUGUACCGUAGGGUUAUGUUUCCUCUGUUCUGUCAGCUGUGUUUGUUGCUGUGCGGUUUGUGUUUGUUUGCCUUGGUUUUUGGCUUUGUUUUAGUUUUAGGGGUCUGUUAUGGAUCUCUUGUUCCCUUGUUUUAAUGCCUCCUUUAUCUUUGUUUGUACUACUUGUACUCACUUUGAUUAAUAAAUUUUGCCUUUUCCAAAAAAAAAAGAGUUUUUUUGUUGUGAAAAUUUUGUGGUUGCCAUCGCAACAUUGAAUCAUACUUGCCUCCGCCUAUGACAUAACAUUGCACAUAAAUUGAUUCAUUGUAAUGGAUUAAUGAGUAAUUGCUGUGUAUUUUUGUGUUUGCUUUAAUAUUUGCAAACUUAUGAAGCUUAAGUUUAUGAAACUUGUGGCUAAUAUCCAUGAAAAAAAAAACAGGAUAUGGGUUCUAAUGUUACCGACUAUCUGGUUGAUUGUAAGUGGUCAACGAAGCUAGAUACAAAACUUGUGAGGGUGAUGAUAACAGCAAGGAAACAUAAAGGCAACUUCAAAGGUUAAGCAUGGUCAGAUAAAAGGUUGUGGCAACUUGCUGUCAAGAAAAUAAAUUUCUUCAUCAACAACGACCAAAAUUGCAGACACUUGGAACGUAAAGGCAUCGAAUGUCUAAAGUCGAUCUAGACUUCAAAAACUUAGAAAGGCUUAUAAUAUGUACCAGUAGAAAGGCUUAAAAAAUUAAUUGGACAUUGCGGAUUAAGCUCGCAAAACUGUUUACUUGUGAAGACGACAAUGGCCCGUUGGUUAUCCCUAAAACUUUCAACAAUUCUCUGCUAGGGUCAUCUCAUUCCUCUUAUGUUGUCGACACUUUUCUACAAAAUCUGCGAUCCAUCAAGAAUAACAUAUCAACUAAACAAUAUAACUUUUGCCAUUCAAGACUUCAAGACAAGCCAGCUUAUGAUGAAUCUAUUCAACCAAAUGACUCCUCAAGAAAGAAUAUCCUACGUGGAAGUGGAAUGUAUCUUUUAGCCUUGGUGAUGUUAUUAUUUAGUUAUAGUUUUGAUCUGCAUCUUUACUUAUAGCUUAAAAGUAUUAGAUUAAGGGUUAAUCUAAUCUAAUCUUUUUAGUUUUGUGUAACAUUGAGGGUUAUUUUAUUUUGUUGGCCUGCUCUUGGUGUGUGUAUCUAUGUGCUUUAUUGUUGUUAUAUAUUGUGGAGCUUUAAGCUAGUGUGUUUUAGUCACAUAGGUGCUGUUCCACAGGUUUUGUAAUGAAUUAAUUAAGCACUUUAUUGUAUCUUAGUCCAACUUUCAAGCAAGUGUAGUGUGAGAUCUCUGCAAC